CAGUCGCCACGGUAAUACGAAGGGGGCUAGCGUUGUUCGGAUUUACUGGGCGUAAAGGGUGCGUAGGCGGAUUGUUAAGUCAGGGGUGAAAUCCCGAGGCUCAACCUCGGAACUGCCUUUGAUACUGGCGAUCUUGAGUCCGGGAGAGGUGAGUGGAACUGCGAGUGUAGAGGUGAAUUCGUAGAUAUUCGCAAGAACACCGGUGGCGAAGGCGGCUCACUGGCCCGGUACUGACGCUGAGGCACGAAAGCGUGGGGAGCAAACAGGAUUAGAUACCCCCGUAGUCCCUGUCUCUUAUAAC
Molecule: ribosomal RNA, 301 nt
Filed under: uncultured bacterium
Lineage: Bacteria
Description: partial 16S ribosomal RNA
Rfam family: Bacterial small subunit ribosomal RNA
Source: RNAcentral